UUUACUGAUAUUCUCUGAAGAAUCAAAACUGUGGGUCACACAAGGAGCAACAGAGAGAUACAGAGAGAUGGAAUGGGCUACAGUUUAUUACAAAUAAUAAUGACACUUUUUUCCUCAGGAAAAGACAUUUCUCCAGCACCUCUAUGGAGGACAUAUAGAAAAGAAGAAUAGGACCAGAAAGAAUGGAGAGAUUGCGUUCUCUGUUAGCAGAAGGAUAGAAGACCUGCAAAUAAUACCAAACCCUUGCAAAUACAGGAAGAAUGACUGCAUCUCUUUGUAUGAAGAGAUGAAUAAUUCCGGAAAGUUAACCACGC
Molecule: non-coding RNA, 314 nt
Organism: Phascolarctos cinereus (koala)
Lineage: Eukaryota; Metazoa; Chordata; Mammalia; Diprotodontia; Phascolarctidae
Source: RefSeq, a predicted model, not a curated record